Molecule: ribosomal RNA, 327 nt
Filed under: uncultured Verrucomicrobiota bacterium
Lineage: Bacteria; Pseudomonadati; Verrucomicrobiota
Description: bacterial SSU rRNA
Rfam family: Bacterial small subunit ribosomal RNA
Source: RNAcentral
AACGAACGCUGGCGGCGUGGAUAAGACAUGCAAGUCGAACGAGAACAGUCGGAUAGCAAUAUUUGAUUGUUCUAGUGGCGAAAGGGUGCGUAACACGUGGCUACCUACCUUGAAGUGGGGGAUAGCUCGACGAAAGUCGGAUUAAUACCGCAUGUGAUAGCGAUAUUAAAGCUGGGGAUCGUAAGACCUGGCGCUUCAAGAUGGGGCUGCGGCCUAUCAGCUAGUUGGCGGGGUAACGGCCCACCAAGGCGAUGACGGGUAGCUGGUCUGAGAGGACGACCAGCCACACUGGAACUGAGACACGGUCCAGACACCUACGGGUGGCAG